UACGUAGGGGGCUAGCGUUAUCCGGAAUUACUGGGCGUAAAGGGUGCGUAGGUGGUUUCUUAAGUCAGAGGUGAAAGGCUACGGCUCAACCGUAGUAAGCCUUUGAAACUGGGGAACUUGAGUGCAGGAGAGGAGAGUGGAAUUCCUAGUGUAGCGGUGAAAUGCGUAGAUAUUAGGAGGAACACCAGUUGCGAAGGCGGCUCUCUGGACUGUAACUGACACUGAGGCACGAAAGCGUGGGGAGAAAACAGG
Molecule: ribosomal RNA, 252 nt
Filed under: uncultured bacterium
Lineage: Bacteria
Description: partial 16S ribosomal RNA
Rfam family: Bacterial small subunit ribosomal RNA
Source: RNAcentral